GGAAGAAGAAGGAACCUUUUUAGUGAAGCUGGAGCUAAAAAAAAAAAAAAAUUAAAAAAAAGAUGUUUAAAUAAUAGGACCUGCUUUAAAUAAUAGGAAGACGUCGAAGAAGGAUACAGGGUGGAAGAAGAGCCAUAGAGGAGGCUGGGAGGGGAGCGCAGGCGUCCAGGACCGCAGCUUGGCCAAGAGCGACUGGGUGGAGGCGUGGCACCAGCCCAGUCAUUCAUUUAGGAGCAGGGACCCCGUUUCACCUGAGGCCCGCUAACGGGGAGCUUCCCCCCAGGAGCAGAGCCACAAGGGGACCAUCGUACUGAUGAGCUGCACAGAGGACUCUGAAGAAUUCCGGUUCCUGACCCUUAGCCGCCCUCUCCUCGGGGAUACCCGGGGCCGCUAUCAGCAAAAAAUAUCUUAAUAUUUGAUAUUUAGCUUUUAGUGUUUAGUGUAAAGACCUCUGAAUAACCUACUUAGGUUGAACCGCACAUAAAAAUGUAUACAGAAAGGGGCUCGAGUUUCUCCAAGGAUAGCCCUAGCACGUCAGCAUUUAAUUUCACACGAAUUCUGUUAUUUUUUGCACUUACUGGUGUGUUUUGAGGUUACUCUUGGUUGUCUGGCUCCCCCAACUAGUGGUCAGGAGCUCUUAUGUUAAGAAUAUAGCUCAAAAAAGGGGGGGGGGGUGCAAUUAAUCAGUGAUGAAUAAAAGUUUUAACCAACUCCCCCCCGCCCCCGCCCCAAAAAAGAACAUAGCUCAAUUCUUUCAUACCUUCCUUAGUAGUGCCCAGACCAUGCUCCACCCACAGUAAAUGCUUUCUAGUCAA
Molecule: long non-coding RNA, 815 nt
Organism: Myotis davidii
Lineage: Eukaryota; Metazoa; Chordata; Mammalia; Chiroptera; Vespertilionidae
Exons: 2
Source: RefSeq, a predicted model, not a curated record